This 479-nucleotide ribosomal RNA is filed under the name uncultured bacterium. Its description in RNAcentral is "bacterial SSU rRNA". It matches the Rfam family "Bacterial small subunit ribosomal RNA", at positions 28 to 507 of the family's 1533-position model. The record is from RNAcentral.
GACGAACGCUGGCGGCGUGCUUAACACAUGCAAGUCGAACGGAACUCUUUGGAUCAAGGCUUCGGCCAAGUGAAUUUGAGUUUAGUGGCGGACGGGUGAGUAACGCGUGAGGAACCUGCCUUUCAGAGGGGGACAACAGUUGGAAACGACUGCUAAUACCGCAUAACGCGUAGAGGUCGCAUGGCCUUUACGCCAAAGAUUUAUCGCUGAAAGAUGGCCUCGCGUCUGAUUAGCUAGUUGGUGAGGUAACGGCCCACCAAGGCGACGAUCAGUAGCCGGACUGAGAGGUUGACCGGCCACAUUGGGACUGAGAUACGGCCCAGACUCCUACGGGAGGCAGCAGUGGGGAAUAUUGGGCAAUGGGCGCAAGCCUGACCCAGCAACGCCGCGUGAAGGAAGAAGGCUUUCGGGUUGUAAACUUCUUUGUCGAGGAAGAGUAGAAGACUGUACUCGGCGAAUAAGCCACGGCUAACUACGUG